Molecule: transfer RNA, 93 nt
Filed under: Pseudomonas fluorescens
Lineage: Bacteria; Pseudomonadati; Pseudomonadota; Gammaproteobacteria; Pseudomonadales; Pseudomonadaceae
Description: tRNA-Stop(tta)
Source: RNAcentral
CGGCAGCUCCUACAGGGGGAGGCGGUGUUGCUUUUAGUGCUGCAGGAUUUUCUCGAGGAAGUGCUGCGCGCGUUCGGAGCGGGCGCUGAUGUC